This 550-nucleotide long non-coding RNA is filed under the name Gallus gallus (chicken). The record is from RNAcentral. Lineage: Eukaryota; Metazoa; Chordata; Aves; Galliformes; Phasianidae.
AGCUGCAGGAGCUGCGGGCGCGGAGGGAUGAGGACGAUCAGCGCAAACGGAGGCGGCACGAAGAGGAGCUGAGGAGGAAACAGUGCCGGCAGCAGGAGGCACUGCUGAAGCUGCUGCAGCAAAGCGGGGCUCCCCCCGGCGGGACCCCCCCCCCACCCUGGGCCCUUCCCAAAGCCCCCCCAGAUGGAGAGCGACCCCCCCACAAACCGACGCGGGGACCCCGGGCGGUGGGGGGGGCCCUGGGGGGGCCAUGGGGGGCGGAACCGCUGUGGCCCCCCCCCGAGAAGAACCCCGGGAGUGCACCGUGGGAGGAGAGCGCCCCCGGGGGGGGGGUCCUCCGAGGGGGGGGGGGCAAAGGGCGCAGCGGAACCAACAUGGGGGACCCCCCCUUCCGGCGCCGCCGCACGGAGGAGGAGGAGAAGAGCAAAGCGCUGCGGCUGUGGUGUGAGGCUGCAUUGGUGGCACUGGGAGCACCCGAGGGCGCCUCCCUCUCCUUCCCCCCCCCUGAACCUGAGCCCCCCGCGAGGGUCCGGGUUGGGCCCGUGGCCCC